AAGCCUCUCAGCUGCUCUCUUCGACAAUGGUGAAUACUUGUAGGACCAGCUUCAUCAUCAUCAUGAUCCUCUUGCUCUUCAUCAAUCAGUCUGCUCUUUCUUCUUCUGCACGCGUCCGUCAUCUAGAAGGUCGAGAUCAUCUUCCUCACCACCGGACACUUAGUGAGAAGGAGAAAGCUGAUAAGGAACGUCUCAGUUUCAUAUUUAGAACGAUCGAGGCUGACAUCAAUCUGGAGGAAGAUGUUUCUCUCCGUCUUCCCCAAUUUGCUCGAUA
This is a long non-coding RNA of Arabidopsis thaliana (thale cress), 274 nucleotides long. RefSeq annotates it as other RNA. The record is from RefSeq. Lineage: Eukaryota; Viridiplantae; Streptophyta; Magnoliopsida; Brassicales; Brassicaceae. The transcript has a single exon.